Molecule: ribosomal RNA, 498 nt
Filed under: uncultured bacterium
Lineage: Bacteria
Description: partial 16S ribosomal RNA
Rfam family: Bacterial small subunit ribosomal RNA
Source: RNAcentral
GACGAACGCUGGCGGCGUGCCUAAUACAUGCAAGUCGAACGAGAGCGACCGGUGCUUGCACUGGUCAAUCUAGUGGCGAACGGGUGAGUAACACGUGGGUAACCUGCCCAUCAGAGGGGGAUAACAUCCGGAAACGGAUGCUAAAACCGCAUAGGUCUUCGAACCGCAUGGUUUGAAGAGGAAAAGAGGCGCAAGCUUCUGCUGAUGGAUGGACCCGCGGUGCAUUAGCUAGUUGGUGAGGUAACGGCUCACCAAGGCCGUGAUGCAUAGCCGACCUGAGAGGGUGAUCGGCCACAUUGGGACUGAGACACGGCCCAAACUCCUACGGGAGGCAGCAGUAGGGAAUCUUCCGCAAAGGACGCAAGUCUGACGGAGCAACGCCGCGUGAGUGAUGAAGGUUUUCGGAUCGUAAAACUCUGCUGUUAGAGAAGAACAAGUGCUAGAGUAACUGUUAGCGCCUUGACGGUAUCUAACCAGAAAGCCACGGCUAACUACGUG